CCUACGGGAGGCAGCAGUGAGGAAUAUUGCUCAAUGGACGAGAGUCUGAACCAGCCAAGUAGCGUGAAGGAUGACUGCUCUAUGGGUUGUAAACUUCUUUUAUAUGGGAAUAAAAUGUACCAAGUGUGGGAUUUUGUAUGUACCAUAUGAAUAAGGAUAGGCUAACUCCGUGCCAGAAGCCGCGGGAAUACGGAGGAUCCGAGCGUUAUCAGGAUUUAUUGGGUUUAAAGGAGUCGUAGGUGGAUUGUUAAGUCAGUUGUGAAAGUGUGAGGCUUAACCGUAAAAUUGAAGUUGAGACUGUCAUUCAUGAGGACAGUAGAGGUGGGCGGAAUUCGUGGUGUAGCGGUGAAAUGCUUAGAUAUCACGAAGAACUCCGAUUGCGAAGGCAGAUCACUGGACUGCAACUGACACUGAGGCUCGAAAGUGUGGGUAUCAAACAGGAUUAGAUACCCCAGUAGGC
Molecule: ribosomal RNA, 460 nt
Filed under: uncultured bacterium
Lineage: Bacteria
Description: partial 16S ribosomal RNA
Rfam family: Bacterial small subunit ribosomal RNA
Source: RNAcentral